GCGCCGGUGGUGUAAUGGUUUUGCAUACGCUCCCGGGAAGAAUGAGAUAUGGGUUCGAAUCCCGGCUGACACA
Non-coding RNA from Parelaphostrongylus tenuis, 73 nucleotides. The record is from the annotation of a GenBank genome assembly. Lineage: Eukaryota; Metazoa; Nematoda; Chromadorea; Rhabditida; Metastrongylidae.